This 332-nucleotide unclassified non-coding RNA is filed under the name soil metagenome. RNAcentral describes it as "partial contains 5.8S ribosomal RNA, internal transcribed spacer 2, and large subunit ribosomal RNA". The stretch from base 1 to 120 matches the Rfam family "5.8S ribosomal RNA", at positions 35 to 154 of the family's 154-position model. The record is from RNAcentral.
GAUGAAGAACGCAGCAAAAUGUGAUAAGUAAUGUGAAUUGCAGAAUUCAGUGAAUCAUCGAAUCUUUGAACGCACAUUGCGCCCGCCAGUAUUCUGGCGGGCAUGCCUGUUCGAGCGUCAUUUCAACCCUCAAGCACAGCUUGGUGUUGGGACUCGCGUUAAUUCGCGUUCCCCAAAUUGAUUGGCGGUCACGUCGAGCUUCCAUAGCGUAGUAGUAAAACCCUCGUUACUGGUAAUCGUCGCGGCCACGCCGUUAAACCCCAACUUCUGAAUGUUGACCUCGGAUCAGGUAGGAAUACCCGCUGAACUUAAGCAUAUCAAUAAGCGGAGGA